UUAGUAAUGGCGAAUGAACAGGGAAAAGCCCAGCACCGAAGCCUGUGGCCAUUUGGUUACUAGGCAAUGUGGUGUUUAGGUCGUUCCGCAGAGGUACCGCUCCACCCUAAGUCCAGCAAUGAGUACGGCUUUAUGGACGUGGCCCAUAGAGGGUGAAAGGCCCGUGGGGGUGGAGACUCGGCAUGACGGUAUUUCUCUGGGUAGACCUUGGAGUCGGGUUGUUUGUGAAUGCAGCCCAAAGUGGGUGGUAAACUCCAUCCAAGGCUAAAUACUAGCACGAGUCCGAUAGCGAACAAGUACCGUGAGGGAAAGUUGAAAAGUACUUUGAAGAGAGAGUAAACAGUGCGUGAAACCGCUCAGAGGUAAACGGGUGGAGUUGAACUGCAAGCUUUGCGGAUUCAGCUGGUGAGUAUGAUUUGAGCUUGGUCAAAUUGAUCGAGCUACGGGGUCUGCGUAUGUGCAGGUCUUUGUCUUUUGGCAGAGAUGCGCGAUGCACCUAACAAGUGCUGUGCGCCUCGGAGCAUCGGGUCGACUCGCCAGUGCACUUUCGCAGAGUAUUCACCACGACCGGCAUUGUCGUCUGACUGUUGCGGUUAAACCGACCUUGCAUUGUCCUUGUGGCUUUGCCUGGUCGGGAUGGCAGGUAGCUCGUUGGCGAUUCGUAGCUUGCUGCGGUUGCUUUCGGGUGUAAUCAGCUGACUGUGAUGGUUCUGUGCGGUAUGUCGGAGACGGCGGCUUAUGGUGUGUGCGUGCGUGCCAGUUUCGUGAGCUUAUCCGUUUCUGAUUGUCAUGUUGCCUGCGUAAAGUAGGCCUGGCAGUGUUGCGGGUUUGUCUUGCGGACGGUUGCGUAUGUGUCACUAUUCAGGGCCAAUAGUCUGUGGUGUAGUGGUAGACGAUCCACCUGACCCGUCUUGAAACACGGACCAAGGAGAGUAACAUGUGCGCGAGUCAUUGGGCGAAACGAAACCCAAAGGCGCAGUGAAAGUGAAGGCUUGGCUUGUCCUUGCUGAGGUGAGAUCCUGCCGUUUCUCAUGCGCGGUACUACCAAGCAUCGAGCGGUGGGCGCAUCACCGGCCCGUCCCAUGACGUAGACACAUAGUCUUCGGACCAGUGCACCGUCGGGGCGGAGCAUGAGCGUACAUGUUGAGACCCGAAAGAUGGUGAACUAUGCUUGCGCAGGUUGAAGCCAGAGGAAACUCUGGUGGAGGACCGCAGCGAUUCUGACGUGCA
Molecule: ribosomal RNA, 1230 nt
Filed under: Saccocoelium sp. IBC-2009
Lineage: Eukaryota; Metazoa; Platyhelminthes; Trematoda; Plagiorchiida; Haploporidae
Description: eukaryotic LSU rRNA
Rfam family: Eukaryotic large subunit ribosomal RNA
Source: RNAcentral